AACGCACAUUGCGCUCCCUGGUAUUCCGGGGAGCAUGCCUGUUCGAGCGUCAUUACAACCCUCACGCCUAGCGUGGUGUUGGGCUUGCCCUGUAGGGCCUGUCUCAAAAUCAGUGGCGGCACUAUCUAGUACCCUAAGCGUAGUAAUACUUGUCGCUUCUGGGCUCUAGGCAGCGGCCUGCCAGCAGCCCCCCCCUAAAACUUUCUAGGUUGACCUCGGAUCAGGUAGGGAUACCCGCUGAACUUAA
This 247-nucleotide unclassified non-coding RNA is filed under the name uncultured fungus. Its description in RNAcentral is "sequence contains ITS2". The stretch from base 1 to 52 matches the Rfam family "5.8S ribosomal RNA", at positions 103 to 154 of the family's 154-position model. Lineage: Eukaryota; Fungi. The record is from RNAcentral.